UACGAAGGGGGCUAGCGUUACUCGGAUUGACUGGGCGUAAAGGGCGCGUAGGCGGUUUGUCCAGUCAGACGUGAAAUUCCUGGGCUCAACCUGGGGGCUGCGUUUGAUACGUGCAGACUUGAGUUCGGAAGAGGGUCGUGGAAUUCCCAGUGUAGAGGUGAAAUUCGUAGAUAUUGGGAAGAACACCGGUGGCGAAGGCGGCGACCUGGUCCGAUACUGACGCUGAGGCGCGAAAGCGUGGGGAGCAAACAGG
Molecule: ribosomal RNA, 253 nt
Filed under: uncultured bacterium
Lineage: Bacteria
Description: partial 16S ribosomal RNA
Rfam family: Bacterial small subunit ribosomal RNA
Source: RNAcentral